RNAcentral lists this unclassified non-coding RNA (196 nucleotides) under uncultured Ambispora. RNAcentral's name for it is "sequence contains ITS2". The record is from RNAcentral. Lineage: Eukaryota; Fungi; Glomeromycota; Glomeromycetes; Archaeosporales; Ambisporaceae.
AUGUGAAACAUACAUUCUAGAUUUUCUAGAACAAAAUGGGUCAUCCAGAUUUUUCAUGGUUACCUAAAAUACAAGACAAGCUCAUUUUUUUGGGUUACGUGAUACUUGUUAUUCGUGACAUUCCGAGAAAUAUGUGGCGUGUUGGAAUUUUGCAAAAACGAAUGGGAAUUCGUCUCUGCGAAAUAGAAUCAAUGAA